Molecule: ribosomal RNA, 469 nt
Filed under: uncultured bacterium
Lineage: Bacteria
Description: bacterial SSU rRNA
Rfam family: Bacterial small subunit ribosomal RNA
Source: RNAcentral
GACCAGACUCCUACGGGAGGCAGCAGUGAGGAAUAUUGGUCAAUGGCCGGAAGGCUGAACCAGCCAAGUCGCGUGAGGGAAUAAGGCCCUAUGGGUCGUAAACCUCUUUUGUCAGGGAGCAAAGGCGUCCACGUGUGGACGAGAGGAGAGUACCUGAAGAAAAAGCAUCGGCUAACUCCGUGCCAGCAGCCGCGGUAAUACGGAGGAUGCGAGCGUUAUCCGGAUUUAUUGGGUUUAAAGGGUGCGUAGGCGGGACCUUAAGUCAGCGGUAAAAUUGCGGUGCUCAACGCCGUAGAGCCGUUGAAACUGGGGUUCUUGAGUGAGCGAGAAGUAUGCGGAAUGCGUGGUGUAGCGGUGAAAUGCUUAGAUAUUGCGCAGAACUCCGAUUGCGAAGGCAGCAUACCGGCGGCGAUCUGACGCUGAGGCACGAAAGCGUGGGUAUCGAACAGGAUUAGAUACCCGAGUAGGG